This 497-nucleotide ribosomal RNA is filed under the name uncultured bacterium. RNAcentral describes it as "partial 16S ribosomal RNA". It matches the Rfam family "Bacterial small subunit ribosomal RNA", at positions 28 to 507 of the family's 1533-position model. The record is from RNAcentral.
GAUGAACGCUGGCGGCGUGCCUAAUACAUGCAAGUCGAGCGAACAGACGAGGAGCUUGCUCCUCUGACGUUAGCGGCGGACGGGUGAGUAACACGUGGAUAACCUACCUAUAAGACUGGGAUAACUUCGGGAAACCGGAGCUAAUACCGGAUAAUAUAUUGAACCGCAUGGUUCAAUAGUGAAAGACGGUUUUGCUGUAACUUAUAGAUGGAUCCGCGCCGCAUUAGCUAGUUGGUAAGGUAACGGCUUACCAAGGCAACGAUGCGUAGCCGACCUGAGAGGGUGAUCGGCCACACUGGAACUGAGACACGGUCCAGACUCCUACGGGAGGCAGCAGUAGGGAAUCUUCCGCAAUGGGCGAAAGCCUGACGGAGCAACGCCGCGUGAGUGAUGUAGGUCUUCGGAUCGUAAAACUCUGUUAUUAGGGAAGAACAAAUGUGUAAGUAACUAUGCACGUCUUGACGGUACCUAAUCAGAAAGCCACGGCUAACUACGUG